RNAcentral lists this small RNA (24 nucleotides) under Arabidopsis thaliana (thale cress). RNAcentral's name for it is "ATSL113720". Lineage: Eukaryota; Viridiplantae; Streptophyta; Magnoliopsida; Brassicales; Brassicaceae. The record is from RNAcentral.
GGGGUAUGUCUCUCUCAAAAUCAU